GAUGAACGCUGGCGGCGUGCCUAAUACAUGCCAGUCGAGCGAACAGACGAGGAGCUUGCUCCUCUGACGUUAGCGGCGGACGGGUGAGUAACACGUGGAUAACCUACCUAUAAGACUGGGAUAACUUCGGGAAACCGGAGCUAAUACCGGAUAAUAUAUUGAACCGCAUGGUUCAAUAGUGAAAGACGGUUUUGCUGUCACUUAUAGAUGGAUCCGCGCCGCAUUAGCUAGUUGGUAAGGUAACGGCUUACCAAGGCAACGAUGCGUAGCCGACCUGAGAGGGUGAUCGGCCACACUGGAACUGAGACACGGUCCAGACUCCAACGGGAGGCAGCAGUAGGGAAUCUUCCGCAAUGGGCGAAAGCUUGACGGAGCAACGCCGCGUGAGUGAUGAAGGUCUUCGGAUCGUAAAACUCUGUUAUUAGGGAAGAACAAAUGUGUAAGUAACUAUGCACGUCUUGACGGUACCUAAUCAGAAAGCCACGGCUAACUACGUG
Molecule: ribosomal RNA, 497 nt
Filed under: uncultured bacterium
Lineage: Bacteria
Description: partial 16S ribosomal RNA
Rfam family: Bacterial small subunit ribosomal RNA
Source: RNAcentral